RNAcentral lists this ribosomal RNA (836 nucleotides) under uncultured bacterium. Its description in RNAcentral is "bacterial SSU rRNA". It matches the Rfam family "Bacterial small subunit ribosomal RNA", at positions 28 to 896 of the family's 1533-position model. The record is from RNAcentral.
GAUAAACGCUGGCGGCGUGCCUAACACAUGCAAGUCGAACGCGCUCAGCAAUGAGCGAGUGGCGGACGGGUGAGUAACACGUGGGAACCUACCCUGAGGUGAGGGAUACCGGCGAGAAAUCGCCGACAAGACCGCAUAGGCUUCCUGUCAGAGGGAAGCAAAGCCGCAAGGCGCCUUAGGAUGGGCCCGCGGCCGAUUAGCUAGCUGGUGAGGUAAGAGCUCACCAGGGCUACGAUCGGUAGCUGGUCUGAGAGGACGAUCAGCCACACUGGGAUUGAGAACGGCCCAGACUCCUACGGGGGGCAGCAGUGAGGAAUUUUCCGCAAUGGAGGAAACUCUGACGGAGCAACGCCGCGUGCAGGAAGACGGCCUUCGGGUUGUAAACUGCUUUUCUGUGGGAAGAGGCAAGGACGGUACCACAGGAAGAAGUCCCGGCUAACUACGUGCCAGCAGCCGCGGUAAUACGUAGGGGGCAAGCGUUGUCCGGAGUUACUGGGCGUAAAGCGCACGCAGGCGGUCGCGUAAGAGUGCGGGGACAGUGGGCGGCUUAACUGCCCAAGGGUCGCACAGACUGCGUGACUGGAGGGCCAGAGAGGGACCUGGAAUUCCGGGUGGAGCGGUGAAAUGCGUAGAGAUCCGGAGGAACACCAAUGGCGAAGGCAGGGUCCUGGCUGGAACCUGACGCUCAUGUGCGAAAGCCAGGGGAGCGAACGGGAUUAGAUACCCCGGUAGUCCUGGCCGUAAACGAUGACCACCAGACGUGGGAGGUAUCGACCCCUUCCGUGUCGUAGUUAACACGAUCAGUGGUCCGCCUGGGGAGUACGGUCGCAAGAUUA